RNAcentral lists this ribosomal RNA (820 nucleotides) under uncultured bacterium. RNAcentral describes it as "bacterial SSU rRNA". It matches the Rfam family "Bacterial small subunit ribosomal RNA", at positions 1 to 815 of the family's 1533-position model. The record is from RNAcentral.
GAAUUCGCCCUUAGAGUUUGAUCCUGGCUCAGGACGAACGCUGGCGGCGUGCUUAACACAUGCAAGUCGAACGAAGCUUGAUGAUUGAUUUCUUCGGAAAGAAAUUCGAUAUGACUGAGUGGCGGACGGGUGAGUAACGCGUGAGCAACCUGCCCUUCAGAGGGGGAUAGCGUCUGGAAACGGACGGUAAUACCGCAUAACGUACAAAGGCCGCAUGACCAUUGUACCAAAACUGAGGUGCUGAAGGAUGGGCUCGCGUUGGAUUAGAUAGUUGGUGGGGUAACGGCCUACCAAGUCGGCGAUCCAUAGCCGGACUGAGAGGUUGAACGGCCACAUUGGGACUGAGACACGGCCCAGACUCCUACGGGAGGCAGCAGUGGGGAAUACUGCACAAUGGGGGAAACCCUGAUGCAGCAACGCCGCGUGAAGGAAGACGGUUUUCGGAUUGUAAACUUCUGUUCUUAGUGAAGAUAGUGACGGUAGCUAAGGAGCAAGCCACGGCUAACUACGUGCCAGCAGCCGCGGUAAUACGUAGGUGGCAAGCGUCGUCCGGAAUUACUGGGUGUAAAGGGAGCGCAGGCGGGGAGCCAAGUCAGCUGUGAAAACUACAGGCUUAACUUGUAGACUGCAGUUGAAACUGGUUUUCUUGAGUGAAGUAGAGGUUGGCGGAAUUCCGAGUGUAGCGGUGAAAUGCGUAGAUAUUCGGAGGAACACCGGUGGCGAAGGCGGCCAACUGGGCUCUAACUGACGCUGAGGCUCGAAAGUGUGGGGAGCAAACAGGAUUAGAUACCCUGGUAGUCCACACUGUAAACGAUGAUUG